UUUUAAGAGAUACAUUUUCUCAAUGAGGAAAGACACCUUUAAUAAAAGCACUGAAUUAUAAAUAUUUCUACAACAAAUCUACCUGAAUGGUUGUUUUAAACUUAGAGAAUGUCUUCGCAUGUGGAUUUCUUUUCCUCCAAGUUGGUGCAUUGUAAGAUCCUGAAGAAUAUUUGUCUGUAUAUCCAUUAAACGUUGGUUCCUGUAUGACUCUGGUAUUACGGUAGAACACAUAAGUUGAUCUUCGAGGUUCUGCAGAAUUGAAGUAAGUGUUUCUUUCAGUCUGUCUCACAGAACGAAUAGAAGAAGCAGUUUCAUCAUCCUUCCUUUGAUAAUUUUGUUGGUAAUUUGUUCUAACUUUUGAGUGUGAAGUGGGAAUUCCUUUGUCUGUUCCUGUAUUAGGUGAGUUUCUUUGCUCCUCAGAAAUCCAUUUCUUUUUCUUAACUCCCUUAAAGUGGUAUUUCCUCACCCG
RNAcentral lists this long non-coding RNA (469 nucleotides) under Gallus gallus (chicken). The record is from RNAcentral. Lineage: Eukaryota; Metazoa; Chordata; Aves; Galliformes; Phasianidae.